Triticum urartu is the source of this 3024-nucleotide non-coding RNA. NCBI's taxonomy places the organism in Eukaryota, Viridiplantae, Streptophyta, Magnoliopsida, Poales, Poaceae. The record is from RefSeq and is a predicted model, not a curated record.
AUGGUUCAUUACUCAUAACUAAUCUAUAUGUCAAAACUUGGACAACUAUUUAGCCCUUGAAUUAUCUUAUAAAUUGACAAUGAUGAUGUUUUGAUGCAGUCUGCAAUUUUGGUUUUGUAGCAGCUGCUGUAGAACAGGAUUUUAUCACAUAUCCAGAGAAGGUUCUUGAAAUGAGGAAAGGCUUUAUUGUGCUCGGCAAGGAUGAUGAUUUUUGUGCAUGAGCUAGGACUAGCAACAGCAGUUGGCGGAACCAGGAUGGAAGUCAUAUUGCCUCCUUUUAUUGAAGCUGCUAUUUCAGGUUUUGGAUUGGAUUAUAGCGAGCUAAUGUAGUACUAAGGGAUAUAGACAACAAGGUCCACCUAGACCAUAAAUCACAUUGUUUGUGACAUCAGCACAUCCAAUUGUAACUGUAGUCCCUCAUUUGUAUGACGUUACAGCCAACAUUUAACACCCACUGUUCGUAAUAUAUACAUGAUAUCCACUGACCAAAUUCAGAUAUAUGGAAUCCCAAAAUCAGUUCUGCAACUUGAGCAAGGUAUGUGGCCAUCUAACUUAAUCCUUGCAUACAGUAGAAGAUCUAUCCUACAAACAUAUAUCAUCUACUUUUCUGAAUUUCACUGGCAUCCCUUAGCUGUGUUUGUGGGUCGAAAACAUGUGUAUACUACACUUUGCGCAGGCAGCAUCCCUAGAGAAUAUAUUGCUCAGCGUUAUGUACCUAAUAAACAUCUGAUAAAUAGAGGCAUUUUCUUUCAUCUCGAUCCGAACACUCCUAUUUGGUGUUGGUGCUCUUUCUAAGUAACUGUAUGUUCAAGAAUUGAUCCAAAUUUAAAGGAUAAGAAAGUUUACAUUUUCUUAUAGGGCUCGGACCGAAUAAAGUCUGAUCUGGCUUGCUGCUGUGUUGUUUGUAAUAUAAAAACAACCAUAAUUGUGGAGGAGUGAGUCAUUCUCUCAUGGGGAUUUGUUUGCUUAAUAGUAGAAUUCCAAUUGCUUUUGGAUUUAUAUGAUGCAGCUUACAUACUCCCAUCACCCAGUAACAUAUCAAUAUCAGUUACUGCAUCGUACCGGGUUUGUAUUAUGCAUCCCUACUGAAAGUUCCAUUGUUAAAUAGAAACGAAGAUUACAAUUAUAGAUGAUAGAUAUAUGUAAUUGUGCGAUGCAUUCUCACUGCUUCCAGUAGAUACUAUCAUUUCAGAGUUCACCUAAAAUUUGCAAUGUUCAAAUUUUUGGGAUCAAAAUACAACUUUUUUUAAAUUUAAGCCAAUAUAAAGUGUGUGCAGGUUGACUUUUAAAACAUUUUUGCUUACAAGAAGCUUAUCAGUUGUAAUGUUUAGCACCUACAUAACCUGAUGGUCCUGUAGUGACUUGGGAUUGGCGAUUAAAGAAACAUGGGUAUCAAGCAUAUUAAUGUGGGAAGUAGAUAUACAAUAUGUUAUAAAGGAGAAGACAAGUAAAUAUUGAGUGUGAAAGAUCAGUACGAUUUUUUUACUAUCAUAUGAAUUAUUGAAUUUAAUCUGGUAUUCAAUCCCUCAACAUUAUAUUUAAUACAUGCUACUACACCAUUACUUAUCUCUACUAUAAAAGGAGAAUUUGACAAGUAAUCAAGCAAGUCAGCACUAUCAUCGAUGGAAGUUGUCGUGCGGAGAUGGAAGUUGACAAGUAAUUUUCUCCAUGAAGUUGAUCUGAUGCGAAGCUUGUGCCAGAUAAAAGGACCAAUGAAGGAAGAGAAACAAAUCACAACCCUUUAGUUCAUGGUCUAGGAGCAGGGAGUUAAUUAUCCGCUUUCAAGUAUUUGUUGCCAAAGUGAGCAUCUAAUUACAGGAAUUCUGUGAGGGCUUCUCUACACCGGUACGGUCUCUCGCUGGUACACGAUUUGAGGCAUAGGAGGGAGGGGCACGUUGCGAUGUCGUCUUCGGUCACGGCUAUAGCUUAUGAGAAGAAUGGGGUUUAUGCUUGGCAGACUGACCCAUGGUUAGCAAGUCAUUAUUGCCGCCUCCGCUUCCCAAGUUGCCUCGGCUUGCUGUUGGUGUGUGCUGCUUCUGCAGCCCCUGCCGGCCGCCUCUUAGGUUCGGUUUUUCUGCCACUACUGAAGUUUCCAUUGCCUCGGCAAGGCGUCGUCGUCUUACUUGCAAGGCACACAUUGCACCGCGGGCAACAUCUUGCUAUGCAUGGCCACUCAUGUCAAAGCUGGGUUCCAGUUUGACGACCUCUCUACCAAGUCUCCAUGUUCUUCUUUCCUGUACUUUCUCCAUCUGCUGUUAUACUCUCUUGCAAGUACGGCUUAACCAGUUUGAUGUCAUGUUGCUUUAGCAGUUGUGACGUAUGUGCAGGAUAGAUAAUGUUUCAUUGGUAGCGCACACAGUGCAUCUAGAGAAGACAAUUGCUUUCAUCGGCAAACAUGGUGGACAUUCAGCUAGAAUACAUAUGCAUUUUCCAUAUACUUCAGAGUUCUAUCUCUCAAGGGAGCUGCAUUUUUUUAGAAAGGGAAUAACACAUAUUGGUUGUUUUCAUUGUAUUAGCCACAUCUAUUGUGCGUCUCAAUCAUUUAAAUUUUGGGCAUUGUACUAUCAUGAAUCAGUUUUGCAAUAAAUUUGUAGAAGUUUUUGCCCCCAAGAAUAUAAUGAGAAAUAUUUGCUGCAACUAAACUUUGUUGAGCAUGUCUAUUAACACUUUCCUCUUCUCCUAUUAGAUGUAAUGAUCUAGACCAAAGCAACCCUCAUGUAUAUUGAUACUAUACUAGAAGGCCACCGAAGAAUUUUACGGAACAAGAGAAGAUGGCGUGCACCAUAUCUUUAAGAUGACUUCCCUCACCAUGUGGCAUGCACUUUUCGGUUUUACUUUAGCGCAAUUGCCAUGUAUGUAAGGGAUACAAUUAGGCUGAAUAUUGCAAUUGUAGUUUUUUUCUGAACUUUUUCAACAUCCCAGCAUUAGUAAAAUACUCCCCUAUUCCAUAAUGUAAGACGUUUUUGCAAGCUAUAUGUUUGUUAUACAUUAUAUUGCUAGAAAUCAAUAAUUUACUCUUUUUUA